GUGUCAGCCGCCGCGGUAAUACGGAGGGGGCUAGCGUUGUUCGGAAUUACUGGGCGUAAAGCGCACGUAGGCGGCUUUGCAAGUCAGAGGUGAAAGCCCGGGGCUCAACCCCGGAAUUGCCUUUGAGACUGCAUCGCUUGAACAUCGGAGAGGUAAGUGGAAUUCCGAGUGUAGAGGUGAAAUUCGUAGAUAUUCGGAAGAACACCAGUGGCGAAGGCGACUUACUGGACGAUUGUUGACGCUGAGGUGCGAAAGCGUGGGGAGCAAACAGGAUUAGAUACCCCUGUAGUCC
RNAcentral lists this ribosomal RNA (292 nucleotides) under uncultured bacterium. RNAcentral describes it as "partial 16S ribosomal RNA". It matches the Rfam family "Bacterial small subunit ribosomal RNA", at positions 505 to 796 of the family's 1533-position model. The record is from RNAcentral.